RNAcentral lists this ribosomal RNA (253 nucleotides) under uncultured bacterium. RNAcentral describes it as "partial 16S ribosomal RNA". It matches the Rfam family "Bacterial small subunit ribosomal RNA", at positions 524 to 776 of the family's 1533-position model. The record is from RNAcentral.
UACGUAGGGGGCAAGCGUUGUCCGGAAUCAUUGGGCGUAAAGAGCGUGUAGGCGGCCAUACAGGUCCGUUGUGAAAACUCGAGGCUCAACCUCGAGACGUCGGCGGAAACCAUCUGGCUAGAGUCCGGAAGAGGAGAGUGGAAUUCCUGGUGUAGCGGUGAAAUGCGCAGAUAUCAGGAAGAACACCCGUGGCGAAGGCGGCUCUCUGGGACGGUACUGACGCUGAGACGCGAAAGCGUGGGGAGCGAACAGG